CAUAUUUUCUAAUAACCCCCUGCAGAAAUAGAUAAACACCAAAGCUCGUGGAAUUAUGUCAGAUAAAACCCUAAUUCUAGAUGUUUGGUGCAUAUUGAUCCUUUUCCAUGUUUAUUUGAUGGUUAAUUUAGUACUUAAGGACCAUCAACAAAUUCCCCCAAGCUUACCCUUUGCUCGUCCCUGAGCAAACAGCUAAACUCAGACGGAUCAGG
RNAcentral lists this long non-coding RNA (212 nucleotides) under Sorghum bicolor (sorghum). RNAcentral describes it as "long non-coding RNA (SBIC_LNC017408)". The record is from RNAcentral. Lineage: Eukaryota; Viridiplantae; Streptophyta; Magnoliopsida; Poales; Poaceae.